This is an RNA transcript of Macadamia integrifolia, 4925 nucleotides long. It is a transcript of the gene named dentin sialophosphoprotein-like, with no coding region annotated. The record is from RefSeq and is a predicted model, not a curated record. Lineage: Eukaryota; Viridiplantae; Streptophyta; Magnoliopsida; Proteales; Proteaceae. The transcript is spliced from 16 exons.
GAGUGAGAGAGUCACAGAGAGAGAGAGAGAGAGAGGGGGCUAAAGCUAAGGCUAAGCUUUGGAGAGAGAGAAGAGAGAGAAGAGAGAGAAAGUAGACAGAAAGGACUUGGAAAAUAAAGAAAAAAAAAAAACUCUGUUUCCGUUUUACUCUGGAAAAACAGUGGAGCUCGAAGCUUCGAGGAUCUGGGACGGGAAGAAAUGGCGUCCUCAGAGAGAGAGCUCGAAGAACAGCUGAAGGAAGCUGGGGAGAGACUCGUUCAUCCUUCUCCUAAUGUCGAUGAACUCCUCCCUCUUCUCGACCAAGUUGAGAAUUGCCUAUCAAGGGUAGAACAGUCGCCAUCAAAAUCAAUGCAAAAUGCACUUUGCACCUCUAUGAAGGCACUGAUUGCUGAUGAUCUUCUGAGGCAUUCAGAUAUUGAUGUCAAAGUUGCAGUCGCAUCUUGCAUUAGUGAGAUCACGAGAAUAACGGCACCAGAUGCUCCUUAUGAUGAUGAACAAAUGAAGGAGAUAUUUCAGUUGAUAGUUGGUGCAUUUGAGAAAUUGUUUGAUACUACUAGUCGUUCAUAUUCUAAGAGAGUUUCGAUACUUGAAACUGUGGCAAAGGUUCGAUCAUGUGUUGUAAUGCUGGACCUUGAAUGUGAUGCUCUGAUUCUUGAGAUGUUCCAACAUUUCUUGAAAGCUGUAAGGGAUGACCACCCAGAAAAUGUCUUUUCUGCCAUGGAGACAAUUAUGACCCUUGUGUUAGAGGAAAGUGAAGAUAUAUCAGUGGAGCUUCUUUCUCCCCUCUUAGAUAGUGUCAAAAAGGAAAAUAAGGAUUUUUUGCCUAUUGCACAAAAACUUGGGAAGAAAGUAAUUGGAAACUGUGUAGCUAAGCUUAAACCGUACAUGGUUGAAGCAAUAGACUCGUUGGGCGUUUCUAUUAAUGAUUACAGUGACAUUGUGGCUUCUAUAUGCCGUGAGACAUCUGAUGCUGCUGAAUGCAAUAAAGCCAAUGCAUCAGGCGAACAUCCGGCAGAUGAAAGCAACAAAUUGUUGGAGAAGGCUGGUGCAGAUGAGCCACCUCAGGAGGCUAAUGAACUCCCAGCAGAAGUGACCGGUUCUGGAUCUCUGGAUCCUGCUAUGGAUAAAUCUCCCAAGUCAGUGAUGAGCAAUGGUAAUGCUCAACAUGGAAAUGAUGAUUCUUUAACAGAUCCAAGUUCCCCAAAAAAGAAGCCUGAACGUUCCCGUCGUACUAAUCAAGCUAAAAGUACUGAUGGAGCAGCGAAGACUGAACCUGAUAGUUUGGAUUCUGAGAAGGUAGUCAAACCAGAAACAAAGCCAGAUAAAGCUACGAGGAAAACAAGGGGUAGGAAAGCUAAUCCUUUGAUGACUUCUACGGAAGGUUCUGACCAUUCUCGGAUUGAUCAUGUGAAAGGAUCUGUAGAGCUGCCUGAUCGGAGGAAGAGUCGCACAAAGGAAGCUGAUAGUGCAACUUCCGGUGGCCCUUCUACAAAGGAUGUGACUGUGUCAUCUGAAGCAGAGAAGGAGAGUCUGGCACAGGCUUCCUCUCCAGCAGCAUCGGCUAGUGAGCCUAUAAAUGUCGCUUCAUCACCAACUCAGACUACUGAUGGAACUCGCUCCAGGAAGGGACGCCGGGGGUCAGAGAAGAAAGGAAGCAGAAACCAAGACGCUGCACCUGGUUCGCCACCAAAGGGAGAUUCAUUGAGUGAUCAUGGUGAAGAUGAAACUACGCCUUCUGCUGCCAAAAAGAAAUCAGAGGGCAUGAGUGACUCUGAAGCAAAACAACAUAAGCGCACAGGGAAAAAACUUCUUGCUGGGAAUGUCAAUGAGAAAACUCCAACUCCAGUUGAUACCGUCUCAAAGAAGGAAUCUGGAGCCACAAAAGAUUCAGAUGUUAAGUCGCUGAGGAAGUCCGGUAAGAAGGUAGAUGGAAAAAAUACCAAUGUAGAUGAAUCAUCAAGAAAACAACAGGGGGGUAAAAACAAGAGAGGCAGGGGCAAAACUGUCUCUGACAAGGAUGUUGUUGAAGAAUCAAGUAAGAAGGUUAAAGAUUUUUCGCCGAAGUCUGCCACAAAGUCAUUGAAUAAAGAUGAAAGUCAAGUUGAAGAUACCCCAAAGAUAUCUUCCAAGCGAAAACGCACUCCGGGGAAGGAAGAGCAUGGUGCUAUAGAUUAUGAUGAGAGUCUGGUUGGUUCAAAGGUUAAAGUUUAUUGGCCACAAGAUCGUCUGUUCUAUGAAGGUACCAUUUCAGCUUUUGACCCUGUUAAAAUGAAACAUAAGGUUUCCUACACUGAUGGGGAUGUGGAAUUAUUGAAUCUUAGUAAGCAGAGGUGGCAGUUCAUUAAAGAUGAUGAUGUGGCAGGGGAACAAGAAACUGAUCUUCCAAGUCCUGAUGCUUCUGAUGACAUGCACCGAAAGAAGAAAGCAAAAACAAAUUCGGAUUCAUCGACCAUGCAAGGAGUGACGGAUGGUUCUGCUAAAAGGGCUAGAGGAGUUUCGACCAGCAAAUCCAAAAGUGAAGCUGCAAAGUCUGGUGGUAAACCGAAGGAAGAUGUUAGACACAGCAGCAAAUCCAAAGAUGACAGCCCUAGAACUGUCAACAAAUCCAAGGUUGAAACCCCCAAAACUGGUAGCAAAUUGAAAGAAGAUGCCCAGAAGUUAGGGAGCAAAUCCAAGGAUGACACUGCCAAGAUCAAAUCCAAGGAAGAUACAACCAAAAGAAGCAUAAAGUCUAAGGGUGAAACCCCAAAAACUGGUGGCAAAGCCAGUGCUAAUGGAACUACUGCCAAAGCGAAAUCCAGUUCAUUGAAGCUACAAGAAAAUGAAGAUUCCAUGAUGGGGAAAUCAGAUUCUGCAAAAGCACAAGAAAGUGAGACAAAAAGUGGGAAGAAGCGAGCGAGGAAGAUCAAUGGCUGAUGAUGUUAACUUUGACCUGAUUCUUGAGGCGGGUAACCGGUUAUCUUGUCUCCAGUGUUUUCUAAGCAGAAAAACUCUGGCCGGAAGGAGCUUUUACAGGAGCAGCUGGUGUUUGACACCACCUAAACCGUGUCAUACAAAUUGGAAGAUCCUGUAGCCACAGUAUGGGCCCCCCUUGACAAAGUCUUGAGACAUGCUCAAAAGAAACAAAUGAGAAACUACUACAUAGAACUAGAAUAUCAUCUACAAUACACCGAGGCCCAGCCCAAGCUGGAGUCCUUUUGUUGGCAAGGAAGGCAAUCAGAAACAACACAGCAAGGAAAUCUGCAAACAGCCCACCAAAACCAUAGCAUGUCAAAUAGCUUACACCAAUGCUGUAGACAAAAACCCACAACAGGCCUCACAACAAGCCGGUCAUUACCAUUAAGAAGCAAGCUACAGCAUCUCAAAUUGCUUUGGGGUUCGUGUACGAUGCUACGGAGGGACUGAACCAGGGUGUAAGCCAGUAAAGUUACACCCAGUAAAGAGAUUCUCCAAUGAGUGAAAAAGAAAAUAAAAAAAAGAAUGUAAGUUGGGGUUAACGAACUCGAAAAAGAAUUUAUUCUACGUUUUCCAAAUCUGCCAGCAUAAAGAUGACCAAGUAAGGUUGAUAUAAGAACUGGUAGGGACAUUUUGGAAGUAACUGAUCAGAAAAUGAAUCCAAUCCCUGAAGUUGACCCCGGUAAAGCCACGAGUGUCGAUACGAAAGGGAGAAAAUUGCCACAGUAUGGCAAGGGCAUCAACACAGCAAAAUGAAGGUUUUGAUCCGAGGAGGGAGAUCUUGAGGCUAAGGCCAUGUCCAAAAUUGGUUUUGAGAGGGAGAUGGAUUGGAAACUUGUUUGUAGAAAGCCAGGAAUGGGCAGAUUUGAUACGGCAACAAUGAAAAUGCCCCCUCUUUAGUGAGAUUAUAUGAGCAAAUGCCAAAAUAUGUUAUUGCUAUGGGAGCCUGUACUAUUGCGGGAGGGAGAGAGAGCUGGUCUUUGACGGACCCAAAUCCACUUGUCAUUGGCCUCCGUGAUCGGGAGUGGAAGGCGAGCAAUUACCACAGAUUCGGGCGCUGGAUAAAGGCUAGAGACUAGCUGAAAGUCCCAUUCCUUGAUAGGGUAGUGGAUUAAGCUAGACACAAACUCCGAGCGAUUAUCUGGGAGAUUACUGGUGAUACACCCCUCGGAUUGAGGGAAUACAGGCAGACACGAAAGUACUAGUGCUGCAGCCAUUGCCAAUGCACCUAUGGAGCCUUUGAAUCCAUGAAGAAUACAAUGCUAGCAACGCAAAAAAUGGUCCUAUGCACUUAGGAUGACUUGCACAAGAAAAGGGAUGACUUGCACAAGAAAAGAGACGGGGAGAGUUGGGCUGUUCCAGUGGGAAAUUCUUUGAUGCAUAAGUUAGAUUUUGUUAGCAAUAGAUUCUCAAAGAGAGUUUUAAUAUCAAGUGACCGCUCCCCUGUAAGGGGUGUGCAUUAGUAUUUAUAAGCAAUGGCCGAUGGAUGUAGCAGUUAUGGAGAGUCCCUCUUUGACGAGGAGUCCAUUCUAGGUAGGAUAUCUCAUGGGAGAGUUCUAUUAGGCAAGUUGCCUUAUCUGGUUAGAAAUUCAUGUUUGGACGGAUCUUUUAGAGAUUGCCUUUGUGAGCUCCAAGCGUAAGAUUUGCUUUCGAUGGUCCUUGAUUCUUGGGAUUGCGUCGGUAAGCUAGUUGAGGUGGGGUUAGUUGUUCAAGUUCAACCCUGUUCGGGUCAUACCUUGUUCAACUCACCCUGCUUAGUUGGUAAAUAGCAAUUGUAUGUAUGGAUCUUCUCACUUGUAAGGCCACAUGUUGAUGCCUGAUUGAUGGGCGGUAUUUUUACCUCAUCAUAAGCCCCCUAGUCCUUCGGGUCGAGGUUUGUAGGUCGGUCUGCAGGAGUGCAACAAGCUAGAAUUCUAGGCUACGACUAGGUCGUGGAUCUUUGAUUCAAUCAAGAUAUCUUUGCUUAUUUA